AGUGAACGCUGGCGGUAGGCCUAACACAUACAAGUCGAACGGCAGCACAGUAAGAGCUUGCUCUUACGGGUGGCGAGUGGCGGACGGGUGAGGAAUACAUCGGAAUCUACUUUUUCGUGGGGGAUAACGUAGGGAAACUUACGCUAAUACCGCAUACGACCUACGGGUGAAAGCAGGGGAUCUUCGGACCUUGCGCGAUUGAAUGAGCCGAUGUCGGAUUAGCUAGUUGGCGGGGUAAAGGCCCACCAAGGCGACGUUCCGUAGCUGGUCUGAGAGGAUGAUCAGCCACACUGGAACUGAGACACGGUCCAGACUCCUACGGGAGGCAGCAGUGGGGAAUAUUGGACAAUGGGCGCAAGCCUGAUCCAGCCAUACCGCGUGGGUGAAGAAGGCCUUCGGGUUGUAAAGCCCUUUUGUUGGGAAAGAAAAGCAGCAGGUUAAUACCCCGCUGUUCUGACGGUACCCAAAGAAUAAGCACCGGCUAACUUCGUG
This 492-nucleotide ribosomal RNA is filed under the name uncultured bacterium. RNAcentral describes it as "partial 16S ribosomal RNA". It matches the Rfam family "Bacterial small subunit ribosomal RNA", at positions 29 to 507 of the family's 1533-position model. The record is from RNAcentral.